CCCAAAAGUCUCAGUCUCUAAAGUCUUUAACAAGAUAAGGAGAUUACACCUAGUCUUGAUCAACACCAGUGCUCUGUUACAGUUCAGAUGUUUGCUCAAGUGUAGAUCUAGGUUAAUCUGUCUAGUCUGUUAGAUCUUCCACCAAUGAAGAGAGCAAGACUGUGAACCAUAGCAAACGUCACCCUGAGAUGAGUCCAACCUAAAGAUUUUCAUUGAAGAUGGACAUCCACAAUUUUCUUCCCUCAAAUGUCACAGUCUACCGAGUGUCGAAUGGAGGAGAAACGGCUAUUGGUGUCUAUUUGGUGAUACUAGGAUGGCUUUCUUGGAUUGGAAAUGGGGUUGUAAUAUUACUUUUAACCAAGCAAAGAAGGUCUCUUGAACCACAGGAUUUCUUGACUCUCAACCUUGCCAUUUCUGAUGCCAGCAUUGCUAUUUUUGGGUAUUCUCGAGGAAUCCUUGAAGUUUUUGAUGUUCUUAGGGAUCAAGGCUAUCUUAUAAAGAUGUUUUGGACUUGCAAGGUGGACGGAUUCCUAAUCCUGCUCUUCGGACUCAUCAGCAUCAACACACUGACAGCCAUCAGUGUCAUCCGCUACAUCAAAGGUUGUCAGCCUCAGCAUGCUCAUCACGUCAACAAGCGCAAUAUCUGCUUGGUCAUAGCUGCUGUCUGGCUGUGCUCUCUGUUCUGGGCUGGGUCUCCGCUUCUAGGCUGGGGCAGUUACAGAGCUCGCAGGUAUGGGACGUGUGAAAUCGACUGGAUGCAGGCGCUGUACUCCGUUCCGGUCAAGCUCUACGUCAUCAGCAUUUUCUUCUUCAACUUCUUUGUGCCACUAUUUGUUAUAGUUUUUACAUAUGUUUCCAUCAUCCGAACCGUCAACUCCAGCCACAAGUCCAGUCGUGGAGGAGAUAUCAGCGAGAGGCAGAGAAAGAUUGAACGCAGCAUCACACGGGUCUCCCUCAUUCUGUGUGCGGCCUUCCUGUUGGCCUGGUCCCCGUAUGCAGUCAUUUCCAUGUGGUCCGCCUGGGGUUACCAAAUACCCCCACUCAACAGCAUCCUGGCCAGCCUCUUCGCCAAGUCAGCGAGUUUCUACAAUCCGUUUAUCUACAUUGGCAUGAGCUCGAAGUUCCGGAAGGACCUGCAGGCUCUGUUCUACUGCCUCAGACCCACAUCAGCGCUCAGGCACACCCCUCCUGUGCCAUUGGCCCGGCCCGGUGAUGUGCAGCUCGACGUCAACGGCUUUAAGGAGAAUGAGUCGGUGGACCUUAAUGCAAAUGAAAACAUACAGGAGAGAAAGUCAGAGAGCCCUCCUGAAUCAGAACGCCAGGACAGGCCUUUACCAAAGUCUGGAAAGAGUGUAAGUCCUCGUGGGUUAAUGAGGAAACCAAGCGACUCGGGAAGACUUUAACAGUCAUUUUUGUUAGUUUAUGUCCUCUGUAUGUUUAUGUAAGAUGGCGAGAAUAAUAUUAGGAUAAUACAGUACAUUGACUGUCUCUAUUAUCUUAAUUUCUCAAGAGAACAGGACACUCCAAGCUACUAGUGAGUCACGUUGUCUACAAAUGCUUCAUGUUGAACGUGAGGUCGUCGUGUUAAUCCAAUAAUGUUGAGGUUAAAGGUUUCGCUUCAUCUCUUUCUUUUAGGCUUGUAAGCUAUUGACAUUUAAUUGUAUGUCUGUAUUGCAUUAUUCAGGGUUGCUGGAGAUUCCUCUCCCAUCCCAGUAACUCAAAUACAAACUUUGAAUUUAACAAUAAUAAUAGCGUUAGGGAAGAAAAUGAAUAUGUCUGUAAAAGAAAAGGACACUAUCUAAGACGGAAGGAAUGUAGCUUUUGAAGAAUAAGACAAUAAACAACUAUCUUACUAAACAAAAACAGAACAUAAAAUGAAGACAAUCUGCAAAAACAAUGGCAAUGACCUCUCAACAUCCUUCCUUCAGAAUUGCAUUUCAAAAUCCAUUUAUAAAAAGAUACAUUUCUCAAAAUAAUCAGAGUUUGAAACUUUGACUUUUGACACCAAAAGCGAUUAAAAAGGAGCAAGAAAAAGAAUCUCAUGAAUUGUGUUUCUGCUAGUGAUAGUGAAAUUUUUAUUGUAGUAGUGCUUUUUUAUUAAAGUAUUGCUUUUUUUUUUCUUUUUUUUGUGGUUUUAGCUAACUAAAAUAACCCUGGUUUCUCGUUUAUUGCUGUCUUCAUUCUCCCAGCAGUUAAUCUUGAUGAGGUGUUUGUAAUUUGGUGAGGUUUUAAGCUUGUUAUAAUCAGCAAAGCACCAGCAGGAAUCCUGGUGUGAACCCCUAGGAUGGUCUGAAGGAGCCAGCGCAGGAGGAUUUACAAAUUGAUCAUGCAUGGUGACUGCCAAGUAAGAAUCUCCUGUCUCUCCACAAACGUCCCUGUUUGACCAGACUGUAAUGUCAGGACCUCAGUACAAAUUACUCAAGCGCAGAACGAACAGAACAGUCAGGUAAUGGUGUUUUAUUUACAUUAUCCAGGCGCAUAAUUCAAAAGCAGCAGGCGUGCUCUAGUCAAAGGAACAGUGAAGGUUUGAGUCCAAACAGAGCAGCAGGAACAGUCAAACAGUCCAGAGUCAUAAUUCCAAGAACAGACAAGGACAAAAGAAGUGUCCAGAUUACAUGGGAAAUCUAUACUAGAUCGUCGGAGCUAGUGGCAAGUUGGAUAUGAAUUGGGAUUUUUCUCAAAGAACUGACUAACACCUCAGUGACCUGAUCUUGCGGUUGUGGGAAAUGUCCUCCUCCUGCCCCAUUCACAGCGCUCAAACACACUCUACUCAAGCAUGUCCCCACUUCCAAUGACAUCCAAGAGAAUUAGUCCCACAUGGUGGUCACAAAAUAAGAGGAUCUUGGUGUUGUGGUGAAUGUUCUCUCAAAUUAGCGGUGUCGGGGGUUAAAGUAGGUCUGUUAUGCAAGGAGAUUUUUUGGCGUAGACCCCAUAUGCUUAUUUUGGUGCAAGACUACUUGAAAAAUAAUGAAUGCUGGAAAAUAUUAAUCAGCGUGAUGUUGUAUAAUUUUAUGAUUUAUGGGAGGAAAGUCCUAAGAGAAAGUCGUGGAUCUGCUAAGAGAUGAGAAGAUAUCCAAUAUACACUGUCUAGUUUAGUAGUGGGUAUGAUUUACAUUUUUCUAAAGAAAUCUUUUAUCCUGACCAAGGGUGCAUUUAUUUGGUCAAAAAUACUGCAAAAACAGAUUCAUUUUGUGAAUAUAAUGUAUAACUGUGAUGGCAAAG
Puntigrus tetrazona (Sumatra barb) is the source of this 3222-nucleotide RNA transcript. It is a transcript of the gene named opsin 6, group member b, with no coding region annotated. The transcript has 7 exons. The record is from RefSeq and is a predicted model, not a curated record. Lineage: Eukaryota; Metazoa; Chordata; Actinopteri; Cypriniformes; Cyprinidae.